Molecule: long non-coding RNA, 4705 nt
Organism: Equus caballus (horse)
Lineage: Eukaryota; Metazoa; Chordata; Mammalia; Perissodactyla; Equidae
Source: Ensembl
CAAAGUCCUGCCUUGUGUUCUCAAGGUCAGACAGGCAGCACAGUGUGGGGCUUCCAGCUCUUUGGGCGGCUAAGAAACAGCUCGCUCUGCACUGCUGUUUUACAGCCUACCGGGUACAUGUCUUACAAAGGCUUGUGAAAGGCAGUUUCUUCUCAGGCCUGAUCUCGCUGAAGUAGAACUUCUGCUCUGCCGUGUCCUACAUGGGCCUAGAGCUGAAAGGCCCAAAGUCCUGCCUUGUGUUCACAAGGGCAGACAGGCCCCACAGUGUGGGGCUUCCAGCUCUUUGGGAAUCUAAGAAACAACUCGCUCUGCACUGUUGUUUUACACCCUACCGGGAACAUGUCUUACAAAGGCCUGUGAAACGCAGUUUCUUCCCAGGCCUGAUCUCGCUGAAGUAGAACUUCUGCUCUGCCGUGUCCUACAUGGGCCUAGAGCUGCAAGGCUCAACGUCCUGCCAUGUUUCCACAAGGCGUGAGAACUCGCUCAGCGUCCAGCUUCCAGCUCUUAGGGCAGCUAAGAAACAACUCGCUCUGCACUGCUGUUUUACAGCCUAAUGGGAGCAUGUCUUACAAACACCUGUGAAACGCAGUUUCUUCCCAGGCCUGGUCUCGCUGAAGUAGAGCUUCUGCUCUGCCGUGACCUACGUUUGCCUAGAGCUGCAAGGCCCAAAGUCCUGCCUUGUGUUCUCAAGGGCAGACAGGCCACACAGUGUGGGGCUUCCAGCUCUUUGGGCACCUAAGAAACAACUCGCUCUGCACUGGUGUUUUACACCUUAUCAGGAACAUGUCUUACAAAGGCCUGUGAAACGCAGUUUCUUCCCAGGCCUGAUCUCUCUGAAGUAGAACUUCUGCUCUGCCGUGUCCUACAUGGGCCUAGAGCUGCAAGGAACAAAGUCCUGCCUUGUGUUCUCAAGCGCAGACAGGCCCCACAGUGUGGGGCUUCCAGUUCUUUGGGCAGCUAAGAAAUAACUCUCUCUGCAUACGGCUCUUUCAGCCUACCGGGAACAUGUCUUACAAAGGCCUGUGAAACGCACUUUCUUGCCAGGCCUGAUCUGGCUGAAGUAGAUCUUCUGCUCUGCCGUGUAAUAUAUGGCCCUAGAGCUGCAAGGAACAAAGUCCUGUCUUUUUCUCUCAAGAGCAGACAAGUGCCUCAGCCUCCAGCUUCCAGCUCUUUGGGCAGCUAAGAAACAACUCGCUCUGCAUAGGGCUCUUUCAGCCCACCAUGAACAUGUCUUACAAAGGCCUGUGAAGCGUAGUUUCUUCCCAGGCCUGAUCUGGCUAAAGUAGAACUUCUGCUCUGCUGUGUCCUACAUGGGCCUAGAGCUGCAAGGCCCAAAGUCCUGCCUUGUGUCCUCAAGGGCACACAGGCCCCACAGUGUGGGGCUUCCAGCUCUUUGGGCACCUAGGAAACAACUCGCUCGGCACUGGUGUUUUACAGCCUCGCGGGAACGUGUCUUACAAAGGCCUGUGAAACGCAAUUUCUUCCCAGGCCUGAUCUCCCUGAAGUAGAACUUCUGCUCUUCCGUGUCCUACAUGGGCCUAGAGCUGCAAGGAACAAAGUCCUGCCUUUUUCUCUCAAGGGCAGACAACUCCCGCAGCCUCCAGCUUACAGCUCUUUGGCAGCUAAGAAACAACUCGCUGUGCACAGGUGUUUUACAGCCUACCGGGAACAUGUCUUACAAAGGCCUGUGAAACGCAGUUUCUUCCCAGGCCUGAUCUCGCUGAAGUAGAACUUCUGCUCUGCCGUGUCCUACAUGGGCCUAGAGCUGCAAGGAACAAGGUCCUGCCUUGUUUCCACAAAGGGAGAGAACUCCCUCAGCGUCCAGCUUCCAGCUCUUUGGGCAGCUAAGAAACAACUCGCUCUGCACUGGUGUUUUACAGCCUACCGGGAACAUGUCUUAUAAAGGCCUGUGAAACGCAGUUUCUUCCCAGGCCUGAUCUCGCUGAAGUAGAACUUCUGCUCUGCCGUGUCCUAUAUGGCCCUAGAGCUGCAAGGAACAAAGUCCUGCCUUGUCUUCUCAAGGGCAGACAAGUUCCUCAGCGUCCAGGCUCCAGCUCGUUGGGCAGCUAAGAAACAACUCGCUUUGCACUGUUGUUUUACACCCUAACGGGAACAUGUCUUACAAAGGCCUGUGAAACGCAGUUUCUUCCCAGGCCUGAUCUCGCUGAAGUAGAACUUCGGCCCUUCCGUGGCCUACAUGGGGCUAGAGCUGCAAGGAACAAAGUCCUGCCUUAUGUUCUCAAGGGCAGACAGGCCCCACGGUGUGGGGCUUCCAGCUCUUUGGGCCCUUAGGAAACAUCUCGCUCUGCACUGGUGUUUUACAGCCUAGCGGGAACGUGUCUUACAAAGUCCUGUGAAACGCAGUUUCUUCCCAGGCCUGAUCUCGCUGAAGUAGAACUUCUGCUCUGCCAUGUCCUACAUGGGCAUACAGCUGCAAGGCACAAGGUCCUGCCUUGUUUCCACAAGGGGAGAGAACUCCCUCAGCGUCCAGCUUCCAGCUCUUUGGGCAGCUAAGAAACAACUAGCUCUGCAUAGGGCUCUUUUAGCCUACCGGGAACAUGUCUUACAAAGGCCUGUGAAACGCAGUUUCUUCCCAGGCCUGAUCUGGCUGAAGUAGAACUUCUGCUCUGGGUGUGCUCCAUUGGCCUAGAGUUGCCUGGCCCAAAGCUCUGCCUUGUUUGCAAAGGGGCAGAGAGGCCCCAAAGCAUCUUGCUUCCAGCUCUUUGGGAAGCUAAGAAACAACUCGCUCUGCACAGUGCUCUUACAGCCUACCGGGAACAUCUCUUGCAAUGGCCUGUGAAAUGCAGUUUCUUGGCAGGCCUGAUCUGGCUGAUGUCGAUCUUCUGCUGUGCCGUGUGCUACAUUGCCCUAGAGCUCCAAGGCACAAAGUCCUGCCUUGUUUGCUCAUGGGGAGAUAGGCCCCAAAGCAUCUUGCUUCCAGCUCUUUGGGAUUCUAAGAAACAACUCACUCUCCACAGUGCUCUUACAGCCUACCAGGAACAUCUCCUACAAAGGCCUGUGAAACGCAGUUUCUUUCCAGCCCUGAUCUUGCUGCGUUAAAACUUUUGCUCUGAGCCGCGUCUUGGCAGAUAUUCGAGGAGUCUUAUUUACUCUCCUUAUGGAUGAGGAAAAGUCAGCUGUUCUAUUAAAUGCUAGAGAAGAAGCAUAUUAUGAAUAUGACCCAAUAUCAGCCAUUGGCAGACUUAGUGAACAGCCUCUGCCAGAGACCGAUGCUGUGUGAAUCCCAGUGAUCCUGAUGAUCAUGAAGAGGAAGACAAGAAGAUGAAAAAGCAAGCCACCCUGUUUUGUGUGGCCCUUCAAGUCUGUUCAAGGUAACCUGAGGAAGAGAAGGAGUGAGUGACCUCAGCCUCCAACCAGUGACCAGAAAGCCACCAACAAAUUUUGGUGUGUGUACUGCAAACUGGAAGGGCAUUGGCAGCAGGACUGUCCCAACCAUCGCCUGAGAGUUAAGAGAUUGAACAGGGUCAAGCCACGGCAUCUUCUCUUGACCACGGAUGAGAUGUGACAGGGCCAUGUGGCUCCCCAGUUGGCUCUAGGGGUGACCUUGGCAGUAGGAGGAGAACAUGUUAAAAUUUUUGGUCAAUACUGGAGCCACAUUCUCGGUGCUGAAUACCAAAAAGAGAAACCUUUCAAAAAGUUAAAGAUGUAGCCUCAAAGGUGUAUCAGGCAAAGGGGAGACCAAAAGUUUUCUGGAGCCCCUUGACCUAUGAAACAGGAUAAAAAGUACUUAAGCGUUUCUUUCUGUAUGUACCAGAAUGCCUUGUUCCCCCUCUAGGGAGGGACAGGCUAUCUAAGCUAGGGGCCUCAAUAAGCUGGGGAAAAGAUAAAGUAGAGAUCCAAGAUCCCAAAAAUUUGGGAAUUGGGCUUAUGGCCCUAUUACAGGAUACACCAGCACCUGAGAAGGAAGAGAUUCCACUAAAUAUUUUAAGUUAAGCUAACUCAGAAUUAUAGGCACAAGGACAGGUGGAGUGAGCAGCCAGUGCCAUGUCAGUAAAGGUAAAACUGAAGCAGGCAGUUUGCUGGCCCCGGGUAAGACAAUACCCCCCCGAAGCCAGAAGCCAUAAAGAUGAAUCUUUCUUGUAAUCAAUACGUUUUUAGAACUGGGGAAUGUAGGUUUGUUCAAGACCGUAGUGCUGUCAAUGCUGUACAGUACUGGAUUUAUAAUAGUAAAUAUCCUUUUUGUUUCUGGCACAGAGAUCCAAAAACUCUUGUAAUUUCCCACAUAAGAGCCAUAGAGUCAUAUUUUGUUAUAAUAAUUACUUUAGUCCUCAGUUCCUGAAAUUACUCCAGAGCAAUAAAGGGGAAAGAGCUGUCUUUUGUUAUUCCUAACAAGACCCUUUCAACCACAUUGAAUUUAUGUUAAUAAGGUGACAUUUGGAAAGCCCCUAAGGGUGGAGGCUGGUGUGUGGGAAAAUAGGGAAAGCUAUUUUGUGAUUCAGGGUUGGGAUUUUCAGCCCCAUCCCCCUCUCCAUAGGUCCAGGAUGAGGAGAGGGCUGAAGAUUGAGUUCGAUUGUCAAAGGCCAAUGACGUAAUCAACUGUGCCUAUGUAGGGGGGUCUCCAUUAAUAUCCAAAGGGAUGGGCUUCAGAGAGCUUCUGGGUUGGUAAACACCCAGGGAGAUUUGGGGAGAGUGGCAUGCCCAGAGAGGGUCUGGGAGCUCCAUGUCCUUGCCCCACGUAUUUUAC